AGCUGAAGAUGAUGAUAAGAAUGCUGGGUGAUGAUCAAUUUCAAAUGAUCAAAACAUCUCCUUGCUGCGUUCUUUCUGAUUCACAU
Hevea brasiliensis (rubber tree) is the source of this 86-nucleotide small nucleolar RNA. RefSeq annotates it as small nucleolar RNA R32/R81/Z41. NCBI's taxonomy places the organism in Eukaryota, Viridiplantae, Streptophyta, Magnoliopsida, Malpighiales, Euphorbiaceae. The record is from RefSeq and is a predicted model, not a curated record. The transcript has a single exon.